RNAcentral lists this ribosomal RNA (1346 nucleotides) under uncultured bacterium. Its description in RNAcentral is "partial 16S ribosomal RNA". It matches the Rfam family "Bacterial small subunit ribosomal RNA", at positions 28 to 1381 of the family's 1533-position model. The record is from RNAcentral.
GACGAACGCUGGCGGCGUGCUUAACACAUGCAAGUCGAACGGAAAGGCCCUGCUUUUGUGGGGUGCUCGAGUGGCGAACGGGUGAGUAACACGUGAGUAACCUGCCCUUGACUUUGGGAUAACUUCAGGAAACUGGGGCUAAUACCGGAUAGGAGCUCCUGCUGCAUGGUGGGGGUUGGAAAGUUUCGGCGGUUGGGGAUGGACUCGCGGCUUAUCAGCUUGUUGGUGGGGUAGUGGCUUACCAAGGCUUUGACGGGUAGCCGGCCUGAGGGGGUGACCGGCCACAUUGGGACUGAGAUACGGCCCAGACUCCUACGGGAGGCAGCAGUGGGGAAUAUUGCACAAUGGGCGGAAGCCUGAUGCAGCAACGCCGCGUGCGGGAUGACGGCCUUCGGGUUGUAAACCGCUUUCGCCUGUGACGAAGCGUGAGUGACGGUAAUGGGUAAAGAAGCACCGGCUAACUACGUGCCAGCAGCCGCGGUGAUACGUAGGGUGCGAGCGUUGUCCAGAUUUAUUGGGCGUAAAGGGCUCGUAGGUGGUUGAUCGCGUCGGAAGUGUAAUCUUGGGGCUUAACCCUGAGCGUGCUUUCGAUACGGGUUGACUUGAGGAAGGUAGGGGAGAAUGGAAUUCCUGGUGGAGCGGUGGAAUGCGCAGAUAUCAGGAGGAACACCAGUGGCGAAGGCGGUUCUCUGGGCCUUUCCUGACGCUGAGGAGCGAAAGCGUGGGGAGCGAACAGGCUUAGAUACCCUGGUAGUCCACGCUGUAAACGGUGGGUACUAGGUGUGGGGUCCAUUCCACGGGUUCCGUGCCGUAGCUAACGCUUUAAGUACCCCGCCUGGGGAGUACGGCCGCAAGGCUAAAACUCAAAGGAAUUGACGGGGCCCCGCACAAGCGGCGGAGCAUGCGGAUUAAUUCGAUGCAACGCGUAGAACCUUACCUGGGUUUGACAUGGAUCGGGAGUGCUCAGAGAUGGGUGUGCCUCUUUUGGGGUCGGUUCACAGGUGGUGCAUGGCUGUCGUCAGCUCGUGUCGUGAGAUGUUGGGUUAAGUCCCGCAACGAGCGCAACCCUUGUUCACUGUUGCCAGCACGUUAUGGUGGGGACUCAGUGGAGACCGCCGGGGUCAACUCGGAGGAAGGUGGGGAUGACGUCAAGUCAUCAUGCCCCUUAUGUCCAGGGCUUCACGCAUGCUACAAUGGCUGGUACAGAGAGUGGCGAGCCUGUGAGGGUGAGCGAAUCUCGGAAAGCCGGUCUCAGUUCGGAUUGGGGUCUGCAACUCGACCUCAUGAAGUCGGAGUCGCUAGUAAUCGCAGAUCAGCAACGCUGCGGUGAAUACGUUCCCGGGGCU